CCUACGGGAGGCAGCAGUGAGGAAUAUUGGUCAAUGGCCGGAAGGCUGAACCAGCCAUGCCGCGUGAAGGUCAGUGCCCUAUGGGCGUUAAACUUCUUUUGUGCGGGAGCAAUAAUGGUCACGUGUGGCCAGACGAGAGUACCGUACGAAUAAGCAUCGGCAAACUCCGUGCCAGCAGCCGCGGUAAUACGGGGGAUGCAAGCGUUGUCCGGAAUUACUGGGUGUAAGGGGAGAGUAGGCGGGACUGCAAGUUGGGUGUCAAAUCUACCGGCUCAACCGGUAGCCGCACUCAAAACUGCAGUUCUUGAGUGAAGUAGAGGCAGGCGGAAUUCCUAGUGUAGCGGUGAAAUGCGUAGAUAUUAGGAGGAACACCAGUGGCGAAGGCGGCCUGCUGGGCUUUUACUGACGCUGAGGCUCGAAAGUGUGGGGAGCAAACAGGAUUAGAUACCCCAGUAGUC
RNAcentral lists this ribosomal RNA (458 nucleotides) under uncultured bacterium. RNAcentral describes it as "partial 16S ribosomal RNA". It matches the Rfam family "Bacterial small subunit ribosomal RNA", at positions 338 to 795 of the family's 1533-position model. The record is from RNAcentral.